ACUUAAGUGGUUUAAAUUAAAAUAUUGAUUUGUGGUGUCAGUGAUGUAUUAUAUACCUUAGGUU
This 64-nucleotide transfer RNA is filed under the name Calolamprodes beybienkoi. Its description in RNAcentral is "tRNA-His". The record is from RNAcentral. Lineage: Eukaryota; Metazoa; Arthropoda; Insecta; Blattodea; Blaberidae.